GGACGGCUCAGUAACACGUGGCUAACCUACCCUCGGGUGGGGGAUAACCUCGGGAAACUGAGGAUAAUACCCCAUAGGAGAAGAGGUCUGGAAUGAUCCUUCUCUGAAAACAUAUGUGCCCGAGGAUGGGGCUGCGUCUGAUUAGGUAGUUGGUGGGGUAACGGCCCACCAAGCCUACGAUCAGUACGGGCCUUGAGAGAGGCAGCCCGGAGAUGGGGACUGAGACACGGUCCCAGGCCCUACGGGGCGCAGCAGGCGCGAAACCUCCGCAAUGCACGAAAGUGCGACGGGGGGACCCCAAGUGCUUACGCACUGCGUAGGCUUUUCUAAAGUGUAAAAAGCUUUAGGAAUAAGGGCUGGGCAAGUCCGGUGCCAGCAGCCGCGGUAACACCGGCGGCCCGAGUGGUGACCACUUUUAUUGGGCCUAAAGCGUCCGUAGCCGGUCCAGUAAGUCCCUGUUUAAAUCCUACGGCUUAACCGUAGGGCUGGCAGGGAUACUGCUGGACUUGGGACCGGGAGAGGGCGAGGGUACUUCAGGGGUAGCGGUGAAAUGUGUUGAUCCCUGGAGGACCACCUAUGGCGAAGGCACUCGCCUGGAAC
This 600-nucleotide ribosomal RNA is filed under the name uncultured archaeon. RNAcentral's name for it is "bacterial SSU rRNA". It matches the Rfam family "Archaeal small subunit ribosomal RNA", at positions 83 to 686 of the family's 1478-position model. The record is from RNAcentral.